UGAAGAAUUUGUCCAACGGCGGGGGAUAGCCGGCCCAACGGCCGGGUAAUACCGCGUACGACCACAUGGGGACAUCCCUGAGUGGUGAAAGCAGCAAUGCGCCGAUGGAGUGCCUCGCGGCCUAUCAGCUAGUUGGUGAGGUAACGUCUCACCAAGGCGACGACGGGUAGCUGGUCUGAGAGGAUGGCCAGCCACAUUGGGACUGAGACACGGCCCAGACUCCUAGGAGG
This 230-nucleotide ribosomal RNA is filed under the name uncultured bacterium. Its description in RNAcentral is "partial 16S ribosomal RNA". It matches the Rfam family "Bacterial small subunit ribosomal RNA", at positions 118 to 348 of the family's 1533-position model. The record is from RNAcentral.